This 69-nucleotide transfer RNA is filed under the name Crocuta crocuta (spotted hyena). Its description in RNAcentral is "tRNA-Lys". It matches the Rfam family "tRNA". From Rfam's summary of the family: Transfer RNA (tRNA) molecules are approximately 80 nucleotides in length. The record is from RNAcentral. Lineage: Eukaryota; Metazoa; Chordata; Mammalia; Carnivora; Hyaenidae.
CANNNAGAAGCUAACCAGAGCAUUAACCUUUUAAGUUAAAGACUGAGAGUUUAAACCUCUCCUUAGUGA